This 1851-nucleotide ribosomal RNA is filed under the name Klebsiella pneumoniae. Its description in RNAcentral is "partial 23S ribosomal RNA". It matches the Rfam family "Bacterial large subunit ribosomal RNA", at positions 398 to 2236 of the family's 2925-position model. Lineage: Bacteria; Pseudomonadati; Pseudomonadota; Gammaproteobacteria; Enterobacterales; Enterobacteriaceae. The record is from RNAcentral. RNAcentral also lists the same sequence under 1 other name.
UGUGAACUCGAAGAGUAGGGCGGGACACGUGGUAUCCUGUCUGAAUAUGGGGGGACCAUCCUCCAAGGCUAAAUACUCCUGACUGACCGAUAGUGAACCAGUACCGUGAGGGAAAGGCGAAAAGAACCCCGGCGAGGGGAGUGAAAAAGAACCUGAAACCGUGUACGUACAAGCAGUGGGAGCACCUUCGGGUGUGACUGCGUACCUUUUGUAUAAUGGGUCAGCGACUUAUAUUCUGUAGCAAGGUUAACCGUAUAGGGGAGCCGCAGGGAAACCGAGUCUUAACUGGGCGUUAAGUUGCAGGGUAUAGACCCGAAACCCGGUGAUCUAGCCAUGGGCAGGUUGAAGGUUGGGUAACACUAACUGGAGGACCGAACCGACUAAUGUUGAAAAAUUAGCGGAUGACUUGUGGCUGGGGGUGAAAGGCCAAUCAAACCGGGAGAUAGCUGGUUCUCCCCGAAAGCUAUUUAGGUAGCGCCUCGUGAAUUCAUCUUCGGGGGUAGAGCACUGUUUCGGCUAGGGGGUCAUCCCGACUUACCAACCCGAUGCAAACUACGAAUACCGAAGAAUGUUAUCACGGGAGACACACGGCGGGUGCUAACGUCCGUCGUGAAGAGGGAAACAACCCAGACCGCCAGCUAAGGUCCCAAAGUCAUGGUUAAGUGGGAAACGAUGUGGGAAGGCACAGACAGCCAGGAUGUUGGCUUAGAAGCAGCCAUCAUUUAAAGAAAGCGUAAUAGCUCACUGGUCGAGUCGGCCUGCGCGGAAGAUGUAACGGGGCUAAACCAUGCACCGAAGCUGCGGCAGCGACACUAUGUGUUGUUGGGUAGGGGAGCGUUCUGUAAGCCUGCGAAGGUGUGCUGUGAGGCAUGCUGGAGGUAUCAGAAGUGCGAAUGCUGACAUAAGUAACGAUAAAGCGGGUGAAAAGCCCGCUCGCCGGAAGACCAAGGGUUCCUGUCCAACGUUAAUCGGGGCAGGGUGAGUCGACCCCUAAGGCGAGGCCGAAAGGCGUAGUCGAUGGGAAACAGGUUAAUAUUCCUGUACUUGGUGUUACUGCGAAGGGGGGACGGAGAAGGCUAUGUUAGCCGGGCGACGGUUGUCCCGGUUUAAGCAUGUAGGCUGGUUGUCCAGGCAAAUCCGGAUAAUCAAGGCUGAGGUGUGAUGACGAGGCACUACGGUGCUGAAGUAACAAAUGCCCUGCUUCCAGGAAAAGCCUCUAAGCAUCAGGUAACAUCAAAUCGUACCCCAAACCGACACAGGUGGUCAGGUAGAGAAUACCAAGGCGCUUGAGAGAACUCGGGUGAAGGAACUAGGCAAAAUGGUGCCGUAACUUCGGGAGAAGGCACGCUGGUGUGUAGGUGAAGUCCCUGCGGAUGGAGCUGAGACCAGUCGAAGAUACCAGCUGGCUGCAACUGUUUAUUAAAAACACAGCACUGUGCAAACACGAAAGUGGACGUAUACGGUGUGACGCCUGCCCGGUGCCGGAAGGUUAAUUGAUGGGGUUAUCCGUAAGGAGAAGCUCUUGAUCGAAGCCCCGGUAAACGGCGGCCGUAACUAUAACGGUCCUAAGGUAGCGAAAUUCCUUGUCGGGUAAGUUCCGACCUGCACGAAUGGCGUAAUGAUGGCCAGGCUGUCUCCACCCGAGACUCAGUGAAAUUGAACUCGCUGUGAAGAUGCAGUGUACCCGCGGCAAGACGGAAAGACCCCGUGAACCUUUACUAUAGCUUGACACUGAACAUUGAGCCUUGAUGUGUAGGAUAGGUGGGAGGCUUUGAAGCGUGGACGCCAGUCUGCGUGGAGCCAACCUUGAAAUACCACCCUUUAAUGUUUGAUGUUCUAACGUUGGCCCCU